GGUCACUUGGAUGAGCGGUUUAGUCCCUGGUCUGCAAAACCAGUUAGAGCGGUUCGACUCCGCUAGUGACCUCCA
Molecule: transfer RNA, 75 nt
Filed under: Bacteroidales bacterium
Lineage: Bacteria; Pseudomonadati; Bacteroidota; Bacteroidia; Bacteroidales
Also listed under: 3 other names
Description: tRNA-Cys
Rfam family: tRNA
About the family: Transfer RNA (tRNA) molecules are approximately 80 nucleotides in length. Their secondary structure includes four short double-helical elements and three loops (D, anti-codon, and T loops).
Source: RNAcentral